Molecule: small nuclear RNA, 105 nt
Organism: Pipistrellus kuhlii (Kuhl's pipistrelle)
Lineage: Eukaryota; Metazoa; Chordata; Mammalia; Chiroptera; Vespertilionidae
Source: RefSeq, a predicted model, not a curated record
GUGCUCUAUUUGGCAGCGCGCAUAUGAAAACUAGAAAGAUAGAGAGAUUAACAUGGCUCCUGUGCAAGGAUGACAUGAAAAUUCAGCUAGGGCCAGUUUGCAUUU